This 855-nucleotide unclassified non-coding RNA is filed under the name Hevea brasiliensis (rubber tree). The record is from RNAcentral. Lineage: Eukaryota; Viridiplantae; Streptophyta; Magnoliopsida; Malpighiales; Euphorbiaceae.
AAAAAAAAAAAAAAAGAAGAAGGAGAAAUAGUUUAAUAUUCUUUUGCAUUGACCAAAAAGAACAGUAUCCUAAUAUACUACCAAGAUGCCCAAUCAACUACCUUAUAAAUAUCCACAUGUUAGUGUUUGAGCCAAUGUCCCAAUAAAUUUUGAACGAAUGUUUGAAAAAUAACCAUAAGGUUUUAAUUAUCUAAAUAUUAAAGGCAUAAUAAUUGCUUAAUAACCAAAGAAAAAAAGUAUGAAUUGCAAAUAUUUUUUCAAAUUUUGGCCAAUUAUUUUUUUGCAAUUCAGUGCAAAACCUUAAUAGAUGUUUCUAUUAUAGCAGGGUUCCAUCUUGGUCGUAAUUAAAUCAUUGAGUUGAAUCCUAAGAUAAUAUCAAAAAGCAGGAAAGUGGGAGGUGAGAGGGAAUAAAAAUAUAAGUUCAUUUCCUUCCUCACUUUUUUGACAUUGUCUCUUUCUGAUUCUAUUCCAAGAGGAAAUAUGCCAUGUAGUUAUCCUAAUUCCUAACUAGCAAACAGCUCAACAAAUUAGAUGAUAAUUUGAGAUGAAACCCUAAUGGAGUCUGUAAUUGAAAAUUUUACUAACAUCAUUCCACUGAAUUACAAAAAUUGAAAACCUCCCAAAACCCAUUCUUUUCAUGGUCACUAACCCCAAUCCUAAAAAAGAUUAAUCAGAAAAGAGAGUCAAAGGUCAAUUAUAAGGGAAAAUAAGAAAACUAGAAAAAGUAGAAAGCUAGAAAGAGUAGAAAACAGGAAACUUAACAGGUGCUGUUCCAACUAGAAAACAGAGGACAAUGAAAAGAAUAAGAGAUAGGAUAUGUAUGAGAACUUACAGCUCUGUCAAAUUCCAACAUAA